CUAAUCAUGAGAAUGAGAUGAUAACAGUUUUUUGCUUUUGUUGUUCAAAGUUUUAGAGGAGGUUCACUAAAUCUAUGACUACACAACAAAGGGGAUAACCUUUUUCCAUUCCCUAGCUUGAUCUCCCAAGGCUUGAAGUAGAGACCAAGUUGUAAUAUCUAUAUUUUUAGGCUGAGUACCAAGCACUCGCUUCCAUACUGGUGGUAUUUACAAUUUUUCAUGAAGUCAGUCAAUGGUAAAUUGUGAGUUAUAUGUUUUCCCAAGACUUACUCAUGUGCGGAAGUUUCUGUUGCAUCCAGUUCAAGUCUUUAGUCUAUGAUGAGGUUUAGGUACACGGAAUGCAUGAUGACCUUGCCCUGACGGAUUCUCGGAUAUUCAACUUCAAACUGAAUUAUUUCCAUGAAUCCAUGCAUAUAGCUUUAGUAGAUGUUUUUUCAGGUAAAAGUUGGGUUCUAUUCCUUCUGUCAACA
Non-coding RNA from Theobroma umbraticum, 470 nucleotides. The record is from RefSeq and is a predicted model, not a curated record. NCBI's taxonomy places the organism in Eukaryota, Viridiplantae, Streptophyta, Magnoliopsida, Malvales, Malvaceae.